CCAAAAUCCUCAAAAUCAAAAUCCUCAAAAUCUGAAACCAAAAUCCCUAAAAUUUUGAAACCAAAAUCCUCAAAAUCCCUGUUCACAUUCAGCAUUGCCGGAGUGAACGAGGGUGAACGAUGGCCUUCGCCAGAGUGACGAGCAGUAGCGAGUUUCGUGCUCCAGAUCUCACUCCACUCUCAACUCUCUCCUUCUUCCAUUUCCUCCUCCAGAUAAAAAAAAGGAAAAAAAAAACGAAAAAGAAAACACAGAAGAAGAGAAGAAAAAGAGAAAGAGAUCUUGAAGAUUUAUUUAUACUAGCAAAAAAAUGCUAAAUUGAAGGCGGAGUAGUUGAUGUCAAUCAUCCAUUUUCCAUUAUCCUCCAAUUGUGUCUCAGGAUGGUAUACUGCAUAUCGGACCAAGUCUCAGAGCUGAAAAUGAUCUUGUCUACCUCAUCCAACUCAAGUUGAACUUCUGGAUUCAAUGCUAGAGAUGAUCGGAUUGAUACAUUGUCCGUUUCCUCUGAUACUACCUCCACCGACUCUGAUUUUACCUUUCCAGCUCCUACUUCAACUCCAGCAAACUUUUCUUCCCUCCAUCCCCAUGCUUUCCAGUUGAUAGUUCAGGAUCUUUCAGCGGCUAAAGUCUCAGGAGCUGAAAACUGGGGAAGUGAUCGGGAGAGGGCAUUCAAUGACUUCUUCUGAUGGACCUUGCUCUUCCAAUUUGUUGUACCGAUGUUCCUGCUAGCUAGUUGUUAGUUUAAUUAAAUGUGGGCGCUUUGGCCAUAUACUGUAGGUACCUCACAUCAAUAGAUUGUUACUUGUGCUUUAUACAAAAUGAGAUUGAUAAUAUCCUGACAUGUCAUAUUCUUCCUUCUAUAGUUUACGGACUCACCCCUACCCCUUUAAAAUCUGAUAUUCCAUUUUUUCUUUAAGCCUAGUGGACUUCUUAAUUGAUGCACAAUGGUUAUUGAGCCCUUAUAAUUUAGGAUUGAAGACUAUUUCAUCUAGUCUGUUUUUCAGAUAAUCUUUUCACUACAUGAUUAUAUAUUCAUGAGCAUGUUUUUCAGAGAACUGUGGAAGGAGAGAUUGAAAUUAUAGAAGAAUAUAUUCAUGAGCAUAUAUUUACCAAAAUGUUUUAGACCUUGUUGGAGUUAAGGUUUCUGUAGCUGAGUGUUCAAAUCAGAUGGUACUUCUAAUUUGUAAAUCUCUAAGUUCAUGGCAUAUGAAUUCCAUUGUCUGGGUAUCAACUAUGGUGGCUUUGAUUGCUGCAAAUAUCAUGUCCAGGCAACUAAUUUUUUAAAAGGCUAAUGAGAAAAUCGUAGUUGUGAAUCACAACAAGCCCAGGUGUAGGUAUCAAGAGAUGCCUUGAUCUACAAAGGAAAAACUCAAGCUGUAUCUCCUUUGCUAGCAGUAACUCAAAGCCCACCAGUAUUUUGCCCACAACUUACUUAGCUAAGAAAAAGGGCAUACUUUUAUUAAUAAAGUAAGCUACGUCGAGUCUCUCUACAAGUAAAUUUGAAGUCCAAUGGAUAAAGUAUAGUUUGCUUAGACGGGAGCAAUAUAUAUAUUUACUGGUCUUGCCUUGUGUGAUUCAUAGAUCAUCAAAUCUGCUUUAGUAUAUGAACUAUAGAAACCUUAUGGGGUGAAUGGUUUGAGAAUAGUUCAUCAUUAUGUUUGAGGGAGUUGUCAUUGAAGAAUAGUUUUGAGUUGUAUCGAAUUCUUGUCUGAACAUUUGGAGUUGUUGAUAUCUUAUUCACAAGGAAUAGUGAAGGAUAUUAUUGAUUAAUAAUCUGUAAAUUUUUGUCCUUUAUAUAUAUAUAUAUAUAAGCAUUUUAUUACCAAAAAGAAGAAUAUACUGUAAGGCUCAAUACAUGAACUAAAAGAGCACACAAGGACACGAUCGAGUAAGCCAACUACCCAUACAAAGGCAAUACAUCCACGAAGUCUAUAAAGAAAGCCACUCACAAGCCCGAGAGUCUAGGCAAAAAAUUGAAGAAAAACACCCUUUCACAACGUGAGAGGGGUUGGUUCAAAAGAAACUUGUCAUUUCAAGUGCAAAGAAAGAGCUCACCCUCAUAACUCGAGAGGAUAGAUAACCACAAACAACCCACAAGAUAUUGGCUAAACUAGAACAUUGGUGCUACAAGGCAACUAAUGAGGUUCAGCUUGAGAUGAGCUCAAGCAUACAUGACAAAGCUAAUUUGCAUCCCAUGCUCGGAGUGCCCAAAUGCUUCCAGCAUUGUUUGUUAUGUCAAUUACAUUUAACAAAGGAAUAUCAUACAUCAGAAGCCAAAGAAGACACUUGAUGAAAUAAGUCAUGACCUGUGCUCAG
Molecule: long non-coding RNA, 2313 nt
Organism: Camellia sinensis
Lineage: Eukaryota; Viridiplantae; Streptophyta; Magnoliopsida; Ericales; Theaceae
Source: RefSeq, a predicted model, not a curated record